UGUCACAUUUUAUCAUCAACACAAGAUUCCUAAGCUCGCAUUAAUUUCGUGACGCAUUUUAGACUAUAUCCCUUGCACUCGCAUUAAAUUCGUGACGCAUUAAUUUCUUGAUUUACAGUAGUCAGUAGAACCACACUUUUCAGCAUUUAUGUCCUGUCUCUGCUGCACGUCUUUGUUCAUUUCCCACCUAUAAGUGUCUUGUUUUUAAGAUUUUGAUCUCCUAGUUAUUGAAGAUUUACAUGUAAUAUCACCAUUCAAGGGCCAUAUCCCCCCUAGAUGUUUUGCUAAGGGAUCACAUUACAGUGAGGUUACCCAUACUGGGAUAAAUAUGAUAACAAGAUGGGCUAAGGACAGUGGUGAGUUUCAGAUGUCACUGCAAGUGUUGUAUUUGUUUUAAAAAGAUAAUAUCAUUUUAGGAAGAUCCAAGAAUAAUGUUGAGACAAGUGAAUGAAUAUUAUGCGAUGACAUUUAGAAUCUUGCAUCCUGUUUCUGAUGAUCCGCCUUGAACAAUAUGCAUGUUAAACUCCUCAAAUCAUUUGGCUCACUGACUGGUACAUUACUCAAUACAUUUGAUAUGUCAAAUUGCUUUCUUUCAGUUUGUGAUGGUAAAAUGUGUUCAGCCUGCUUGAUUUCCAUUUACAAGUUGAAAGCAAGUCAGACUUCCAAGUUUGGCUCCUACACAUGCUACCUGGAUGAUGUAUGAUAACAGCAUGAGGCUGGGGUAGGCAGAAGUCUUUCAACAAUGGUCUUGUGGUUUAUUGCUGGGAUGCACCUGACUAUUGCUGUAGCAGCAUGUACUGAGGAUGCAGUGAUGAGUCUGGCUAUUACUGCUGCAGCAUGUACUGAGGAUGCAGGGAUGAGUCUGGCUAUUGCUGCUGCAGCAUGUACUGAGGAUGCAGUGAUGAGUCUGGCUAUUGCUGCUGCAGCAUGUACUGAGGAUGCAGAGAUGCAUCUGGCUAUUGCUGCAGCAGAUUGUACUGAGGAUGCAGAGAUCCACCUGACUAUUGCUGUGGUAGCAUGUACUGAGGAUGCAGUGAUGCACCUGACUAUUGCUGCGGCAGCGUGUACUGAGGAUGCAGUGAUGCACCUGACUAUUGCUGCAGCAGCGUGUACUGAGGAUGCUGUGAUGCACCUGACUAUUGCUGCAGCAGCGUGUACUGAGGAUGCAGAGAUGCACCUGACUAUUGCUGCAGCAGCGUGUACUGAGGAUGCAGAGAUGCACCUGACUAUUGCUGCAGCAGCGUGUACUGAGGAUGCAGAGAUGCACCUGACUAUUGCUGCAGCAGCGUGUACUGAGGAUGCAGUGAUGCACCUGACUAUUGCUGCAGCAGCGUGUACUGAGGAUGCUGUGAUGCACCUGACUAUUGCUGCAGCAGCGUGUACUGAGGAUGCUGUGAUGCACCUGACUAUUGCUGCGCAGCAGCGUGUACUGAGGAUGCUGUGAUGCACCUGACUAUUGCUGCAGCAGCGUGUACUGAGGAUGCAGAGAUGCAUCUGGCUAUUGCUGCAGCAGCGUGUACUGAGGAUGCAUCUGGCUAUUGCUGCAGCAGCGUGCACUGAGGAUGCAGUGAUGUGUCUGGCUCAUAUGAUAACCAUACACAAAUGUAUGGUGGGACAUGAACUGUUCACCUCAUCUCCAGAUUCAAAUGCAAUAUGGCUGUUCCAUGACUUGGGUCAGGUGUUAGUGUACCAGAACUUUGUCUGUGAACUAUUCGGUCUGCCAUUGGUGUACUUAAUGUGAUGUUAACAUAUCCAGUAGCUACUUCAUAUCACAUUGUAAGUUAUUCCAACAAAUGACUAUUCCACUGCUUACAGUGUGAUUGUAAAUAUAUAAUAAACUUGUUAUAUUAUCAA
RNAcentral lists this unclassified non-coding RNA (1854 nucleotides) under Haliotis rubra (blacklip abalone). RNAcentral's name for it is "uncharacterized LOC124288002, transcript variant X4". The record is from RNAcentral. Lineage: Eukaryota; Metazoa; Mollusca; Gastropoda; Lepetellida; Haliotidae.